Molecule: ribosomal RNA, 254 nt
Filed under: uncultured bacterium
Lineage: Bacteria
Description: partial 16S ribosomal RNA
Rfam family: Bacterial small subunit ribosomal RNA
Source: RNAcentral
UACGUAGGGUGCGAGCGUUGUCCGGAAUUACUGGGCGUAAAGAGCUCGUAGGUGGUUUGUCGCGUUGUUCGUGAAAACUCACAACUCAAUUGUGGGCGUGCGGGCGAUACGGGCAGGCUUGAGUUCGGUAGGGGAGACUGGAAUUCCUGGUGUAGCGGUGAAAUGCGUAGAUAUCUGGAGGAACACCGGUGGCGAAGGCGGCAUCCUGGACCAAUUCUGACGCUGAGUGAGCGAAAGCCAGGGGAGCAAACGGG